RNAcentral lists this ribosomal RNA (1407 nucleotides) under uncultured Bacilli bacterium. RNAcentral describes it as "bacterial SSU rRNA". It matches the Rfam family "Bacterial small subunit ribosomal RNA", at positions 27 to 1392 of the family's 1533-position model. The record is from RNAcentral. Lineage: Bacteria; Bacillati; Bacillota; Bacilli.
GGACGAACGCUGGCGGCGUGCCUAAUACAUGCAAGUCGAACGAGCUCUCCUAAAUUGAUUUUAUGCUUGCAUAAAUGAUUUUUAGAUUCGGAGCGAGUGGCGAACUGGUGAGUAACACGUGGGUAACCUGCCCCGAAGCGGGGGAUAACAUUUGGAAACAAAUGCUAAUACCGCAUAAUUAGUUGGAACCGCAUGGUUCCAACUUGAAAGAUGGCUCUGCUAUCACUUUGGGAUGGACCCGCGCCGUAUUAGUUAGUUGGUGAGAUAAAAGCCCACCAAGACGAUGAUACGUAGCCGACCUGAGAGGGUAAUCGGCCACAUUGGGACUGAGACACGGCCCAGACUCCUACGGGAGGCAGCAGUAGGGAAUCUUCCACAAUGGACGAAAGUCUGAUGGAGCAACGCCGCGUGAGUGAUGAAGGUUUUCGGAUCGUAAAACUCUGUUGUUAAAGAAGAACAAGUGUUAGAGUAACUGUUAACACUUUGACGGUAUUUAACCAGAAAGCCACGGCUAACUACGUGCCAGCAGCCGCGGUAAUACGUAGGUGGCAAGCGUUGUCCGGAUUUAUUGGGCGUAAAGCGAGCGCAGGCGGUUUUGUAAGUCUGCUGUGAAAGCCCUCAGCUCAACUGAGGAAGUGCAGUGGAAACUACAAAACUUGAGUACAGAAGAGGAAAGUGGAACUCCAUGUGUAGCGGUGAAAUGCGUAGAUAUAUGGAAGAACACCAGUGGCGAAGGGCGGCUUUCUGGUCUGUUACUGACGCUGAGGCUCGAAAGCAUGGGUAGCGAACAGGAUUAGAUACCCUGGUAGUCCAUGCCGUAAACGAUGAAUACUAGGUGUUGGAGGGUUUCCGCCCUUCAGUGCCGCAGCUAACGCAUUAAGUAUUCCGCCUGGGGAGUACGACCGCAAGGUUGAAACUCAAAGGAAUUGACGGGGGCCCGCACAAGUGGUGGAGCAUGUGGUUUAAUUCGAUGCUACGCGAAGAACCUUACCAGCUCUUGACAUCUUCUGCCAACCCAAGAGAUUGGGCGUUCCCUUCGGGGACAGAAUGACAGGUGGUGCAUGGUUGUCGUCAGCUCGUGUCGUGAGAUGUUGGGUUAAGUCCCGCAACGAGCGCAACCCUUAUUAUUAGUUGCCAGCAUUUAGUUGGGCACUCUAGUGAGACUGCCGGUGAUAAACCGGAGGAAGGUGGGGACGACGUCAAAUCAUCAUGCCCCUUAUGAGCUGGGCUACACACGUGCUACAAUGGAUGGUACAACGAGUCGCGAAACCGCGAGGUCAAGCUAAUCUCUUAAAGCCAUUCUCAGUUCGGAUUGCAGGCUGCAACUCGCCUGCAUGAAGUUGGAAUCACUAGUAAUCGUGGAUCAGCAUGCCACGGUGAAUACGUUCCCGGGCCUUGUACACACCG